This 72-nucleotide transfer RNA is filed under the name Gemmatimonadota bacterium. RNAcentral's name for it is "tRNA-Thr". It matches the Rfam family "tRNA". From Rfam's summary of the family: Transfer RNA (tRNA) molecules are approximately 80 nucleotides in length. Their secondary structure includes four short double-helical elements and three loops (D, anti-codon, and T loops). Further hydrogen bonds mediate the characteristic L-shaped molecular structure. tRNAs have two regions of fundamental functional importance: the anti-codon, which is responsible for specific mRNA codon recognition, and the 3' end, to which the tRNAs corresponding amino acid is attached (by aminoacyl-tRNA synthetases). tRNAs cope with the degeneracy of the genetic code in two manners: having more than one tRNA (with a specific anti-codon) for a particular amino acid; and 'wobble' base-pairing, i.e. permitting non-standard base-pairing at the 3rd anti-codon position. The record is from RNAcentral. Lineage: Bacteria; Pseudomonadati; Gemmatimonadota. RNAcentral also lists the same sequence under 2 other names.
GCCACCGUAGCUCAGGGGUAGAGCACUCGAUUCGUAAUCGAGCGGUCGUGAGUUCAAAUCUCACCGGUGGCU